UACGAAGGGGGCUAGCGUUGCUCGGAAUCACUGGGCGUAAAGGGUGCGUAGGCGGGUCUUUAAGUCAGGGGUGAAAUCCUGGAGCUCAACUCCAGAACUGCCUUUGAUACUGAAGAUCUUGAGUCCGGGAGAGGUGAGUGGAACUGCGAGUGUAGAGGUGAAAUUCGUAGAUAUUCGCAAGAACACCAGUGGCGAAGGCGGCUCACUGGCCCGGUGCUGACGCUGAGGCACGAAAGCGUGGGGAGCAAACAGG
Molecule: ribosomal RNA, 253 nt
Filed under: uncultured bacterium
Lineage: Bacteria
Description: partial 16S ribosomal RNA
Rfam family: Bacterial small subunit ribosomal RNA
Source: RNAcentral